UGAGGAAUAUUGGACAAUGGGCGAAAGCCUGAUCCAGCCAUGCCGCGUGAAGGAAGAAGGUUCUAUGGAUUGUAAACUUCUUUUGAUAGAGAGCAAUAAACUCCACGUGUGGAGCGAUGAGAGUAUCUAUCGAAUAAGCAUCGGCUAACUCCGUGCCAGCAGCCGCGGUAAUACGGAGGAUGCAAGCGUUAUCCGGAUUCAUUGGGUUUAAAGGGUGCGUAGGCGGUUUGGUAAGUCAGUGGUGAAAGUUUGCAGCUUAACUGUAAAAUUGCCAUUGAUACUGCCGGGCUCGAAAGUAGUUGAAGUGGGUGGAAUGUGUGGUGUAGCGGUGAAAUGCAUAGAGAUCACACAGAAUAUCAAUAGCGAAGGCAACUCACUAAACUAUGUUUGACGCUGAGGCACGAAAGUGUGGGGAUCAAACAGGAUUAGAUACCCUGGUAGUCCACACUGUAAACGAUGAUAACUAGCCGUUUGCGAUAUACCGUAAGUGGCUGAGCGAAAGCGUUAAGUUAUCCACCU
This 519-nucleotide ribosomal RNA is filed under the name uncultured bacterium. RNAcentral's name for it is "bacterial SSU rRNA". It matches the Rfam family "Bacterial small subunit ribosomal RNA", at positions 355 to 874 of the family's 1533-position model. The record is from RNAcentral.